AGUAUCAUUAAAGCUUCCCAGGUGAUCCCAAUAAGAACAAGAAGCAAAGGUUCAGGAAGGUCACGUCAGAACUGAUCCAGAAAGGUCCAGAGGGAUGCCGGUGCCAUAAAGCCGUCUGCUUGGCAUCGGUGAAGAACGCGCUCCCCCUUGUUGCCCAUGCAGUGCCUGCCUGGAAAGUAGAAAUAAACACGCCUUUUGGCCUCGUUAGACUAUUUUGUCCAAUGUUCGUUAGACAUGUAUCGUUCAUGAAACCCCAGAAGAACCUCAAAAACGUGCAAAAAUGGACCAGUGGAAGUUGGUGCAAUGCAUCCAGCCCUUUGUUUCAAAAGACUGUGCAGAUCCCGUAAGCACCUUUCUCUCCAAAGAACGGAGGAAUUUUUAUAAUGCAGUCAUGGACAUGGAGAUCGGUGAGAAAGAAAAUGGGCCAUUAAAACCACGCCGUCUUUUUGAAACAUAGUGCCCUGCACCAAAGUAAGGUUUUAAACAGAAUUGCCACAUAGUGGAACUGGUUUCAAUGCAUUCUUCUCUUUUUAUUCCUUUCUUAGCUUUUGGAGGCAGCCAAUGAGAAAUUAAAUGGUGAAGAGACUAGAAGUGGUAGCACUAUAGCCUUGCAUCACACAUACCAUGGAGGGUAACUCCUGGAGGAAUCAAAGCUGACUUUUGUAAGGAUGGGUUAAUUUGGAUAAUUCUCAAAUGGUGCAUAGGUUGCCUUCUAAAUGUUCACUUGUAAAUUGGUUGUUUAAAACUCAGAACAAAAUUCUUACACACAUAUCACCCAAUACAAUAUUCCCAAGUGAACCCAGCAACACCCAUUUAAUUCAUGACUGAGUCACAAAAUGUACUACGCCUGAUCCAACAAUAGGAUCCAGGUAAAGCAGCCAAUAAGAGGAGAUGAAAGACUUCCUCCUCCCUUUUUUGUGUCUAUUAUAUGAUGUGUCAGAGCUAACGAAUGUCUAGGGUCCUUUCUGUAUGUAUUCCCCUCCUGUGUUUUUCUCCCCAGAUGCCCUAUUCUCCAUGUCCUUUAACCCCCUGCUCUAACCCUUCCCAUCUCACCCCUUCCCUGUCAGCAUGUCAGCAUACUUCAUGAUCCAAAAUGGCCUAACUCCAGUUCCAUGCAUCUUGGCUUGAUGUUCAGAAGGGAGCAGUCCAACUGAACGAAUUCUGAAUGCCUGAGAGUCCUUUCACUUCUCAGAGGCGCUGCAUUUCUAAAAGCAGUUGCUUUCUUACUCCCAUCAGCAACUCAUUGAUAGAAUUGCCAACAAAGUACAAAAAACAACAACAACAAACAAACAAACAAAAAACAGGCCGUGAGAGGAGGUCUAGAAAACUGACUGGGUCAGACCCCCACAUUGUCCUUGUUGAUCACAGCAGCUUCCUCCGGACCUCCUCCUCCCCACAAUCCCAAAGUGCCUUCCACGCUGAGAUCCUGGCCUGCGUCUGUUUGUAUGUGGACUAUAAAUCGAUCAUUAACUAAAAGACCAAGUUACUUGUCAUGACUUUUAUUCACGGUCUCUUACAGGGUCCCUGGUUAACCUGGCCUCAAAGUAUUUCUGAUGAUGGUUGGGUUGAAAAUCAAUGUGCCUUACCAGUAAGUUGUACAGUCACUUAGAUUGCAGUAGAGUUUGUUGAACUCCUUUACACCAUUAAUUGUUUUUUCUUCAGUGGAUCAAUAUUUCAAAAAGUUAAUUACUAAAGCUUUGCUUAAAGAAUGCCAAGCAUCUUCUAAACCUUGACAAUGCAGUGAUCAUCAAUAUGCUAAAAGAAAGUUGCUAAUAUUAUAUUUU
Long non-coding RNA from Pipistrellus kuhlii (Kuhl's pipistrelle), 1784 nucleotides. RefSeq lists it as uncharacterized. The transcript is spliced from 2 exons. The record is from RefSeq and is a predicted model, not a curated record. Lineage: Eukaryota; Metazoa; Chordata; Mammalia; Chiroptera; Vespertilionidae.